This 253-nucleotide ribosomal RNA is filed under the name uncultured bacterium. RNAcentral's name for it is "partial 16S ribosomal RNA". It matches the Rfam family "Bacterial small subunit ribosomal RNA", at positions 524 to 776 of the family's 1533-position model. The record is from RNAcentral.
UACGAAGGGGGCUAGCGUUGUUCGGAAUUACUGGGCGUAAAGCGCGCGCAGGCGGUCUGUUAAGUUAGGGGUGAAAUCCCUGGGCUCAACCCAGGAAUUGCCCUUAAGACUGGCAGGCUUGAGUGCGGGAGAGGUGAGUGGAAUUCCCAGUGUAGAGGUGAAAUUCGUAGAUAUUGGGAAGAACACCAGUGGCGAAGGCGGCUCACUGGCCCGUAACUGACGCUGAGGCGCGAAAGCGUGGGGAGCAAACAGG